CUUUCUUCUCUGCUGCUGCUUUCUUUUGUUCCUGCUUGGCUGCUCUGUCUUUUACAAAAUUGGCUAUUUUCUUCCUUGGUCCAAGAGGUAUCCCCAUUUCCUUCAAGUCAUCAAUUGUACACAUCAGCAGAGAUUCCAUGUCAAUUCUCUCCUUUUCAAAUGUGUUUGCAUACUCUGAUAAACUCAGCAUCUCCAGAGUCUUCUGCAAAGUAGGAACGUCAUCAUCUACUUCAGGCUCACAAAGGUCAUCACCAGAAGUAGUAAUUGAGGAGCCCAAGGAACUGGUAUCUUCAGUCAUCUGUUUAUCUUGAGUAGACAUAUCCUUCUCAGUCCCAUUAACACCAGAGAAAGGUUCAGUAUUUACUGAUGAAGCCAAAUCUUUCUGGUUAGAUAAUAUGUCAAACAGAAUUAAGGAACCUAAACUGUGCCCAGCCACAGAGACUCCUCCUUUGAAGUCUGGAUUGCGACUCAUGAAAAGUGCAUACAAACGGUUCAUCUCCA
RNAcentral lists this long non-coding RNA (501 nucleotides) under Gallus gallus (chicken). Lineage: Eukaryota; Metazoa; Chordata; Aves; Galliformes; Phasianidae. The record is from RNAcentral.